GUAAAAUCAAUGAAAAGGAAUAGUAGUUGUAUGGGUUUCUGCAGAGAGCUUGUGUAAGGUGGAAGCAAGUGAAAAACCGCAAUGAACUCGCCUUGGAGAUGUAAAGAUGAAUGGAGUAGUUUUUACCGUAUCACUGCGUUAAGGUGUUAAGGGCAUGUAUAUGAAAAUAUAUAUGAACUAAGGUGGUAACGCGAUAAAGUCGUCCUUAGA
RNAcentral lists this non-coding RNA (210 nucleotides) under Coprobacillus sp. RNAcentral's name for it is "T-box sequence". It matches the Rfam family "T-box leader". From Rfam's summary of the family: Uncharged tRNA acts as the effector for transcription antitermination of genes in the T-box leader family. T-boxes are found upstream of many aminoacyl-tRNA synthetase genes and some amino acid biosynthetic genes usually in Gram-positive bacteria. The anticodon of a specific tRNA base pairs to a specifier sequence within the T-box motif, and the NCCA acceptor tail of the tRNA base pairs to a conserved bulge in the T-box antiterminator hairpin. The record is from RNAcentral. Lineage: Bacteria; Bacillati; Bacillota; Erysipelotrichia; Erysipelotrichales; Coprobacillaceae.